UUUUUGCAGAAUUGAAAGGGCAAGCUCCUGGACUCUACCUCAGCCAAUCAGGACCAGGUUCUACUUCAGCCAAUUGGAACCUGGAUCCUAUUUCAGCCAAUCGGGACCCGGAUCCUAUUUCAGCCAAUUGGAGUUUGGUCUCUCUCUCUCCUCCAGUCAGCAAAAAGUGCACCCACCACCCCUAGACUCUGCCAAUUGACCAAAGCCAUGACCUAUCACCCCACCAACUACCCCCAGGCCCAGCCAAUCAGCCAGGGCCAUGACCAUCACCCCACAAACUGCCCUAGAAACACAUAAAACCUUUGUUCUUGGAAAACUCGCUCUCUCUCUGGUGCCUGGCCACUGCGUUGGCACCGGUGUGAGAUUGAGCUUGGGCUAGCUUGAAUAAAGGCUCUUUGCUUUUGCAUCUGUGUUGGCUCCUUGGUGGUCUCCUUGGGAUUCGUGACUUUGGGCACAACAUUUUGGGGGCUCAUCUGGGAUCCCGGAGACCCCCAGGACUCCUGACCCGUGGGGGCCUAGUGCCGGCUGGUGAGUCUACUCAGUUAUCUGUCUGUCUUUGUCUACCUGUGUCUCACUCUGUCUCACUCUGUCUUUGUCUAUCAGUGUCUCACUGUUUUUGUUCAUGAACAAGCCUGUAUAAGCCUGUAGGAGCUCCAAUCUGUAUCUGGGUCGGCAUUGACUUAGGCAGACGCACUGGCAGGUCACCGACCAGGGGUCUUGGGAGACGUCCCUUGCCCCCGUCUGGAGGACGAGGUCCUCAUCUGUGAGGAAAGUCGGCUGCCACUGCAGUCCGACAGACCCUCAACUUACUUUCAGUUUUGCCUCCUUUAUCUCUCAUGACAGACCAUUUUUCAGAUGUUAGGGAGAGAGCUCACAAUUUGAGCACGGACAUCAAGAAGGGAAAAUUUCGUGCUUUCUGCACCUCUGAGUGGCCGUCCUUUAACAUUAGAUGGCCGCCGGAGGGAACUUUUAUUCUAACCACCCUUUUACAGGUGAAAGGUGUUAUCUUCAGGAAAGGAGCCUAGGGCCAUCCAGGCCAAAUUCCCUACAUCUUAGUCUGGCAGGACCUAAUUGAAAACCCUCCCUCGUGACUUAAACCUUUCCUUCCAUCCAGGGCAGACCCCACGUCCAAAGUCUUGGCCCUACAAGGUCCAGUCCCAAAGUCUGGGAAAGACUCAGGACCUAAAGAAACCAAACCAUCCCUUACCCAGUUCUGCAGGACACCAGCUCAGAGGAGUUGAUCUUUCCACCACCCUAUCAGCCCCUCCCAACCACCCUGCCAGCAGAGCCAGCAGAACCAGAUGGAGGGGAACUAGUUCCAGAAGAACCAGUUCCUAUUCCUGAAAGAGGAGCGCCUGCGCAUGGACCUGCGGCAGGGACACAGGGCCGGGUCCAUCGGGCGGCCCUCAGUCAAGGACCCACUGACUCAACUGUCCUUCCCCUGCUUGCCACAGGGCCCCCUGAUGAAACAGGAGAACGGCCAAAGCACUAUUGGCCGUUCUCCACUAGCGACCUCUCUAACUGGAGAACUCAGAAUGUUAAGUUCUCAGAAAAUCCCAAAGAUCUUAUUAACCUCUUAGACACUGUUGUUUUUACCCAUCAGCCCACUUGGGAUGAUUGUCAACAGCUCUUACAGGUUCUUUUUACCAUUGAGGAGAGAGAAAGGAUCCAGGUGGAAGCCUGGAAGUCAGUUCUGGGUGACAAUAGACAGCCCACCCAGAACCCAGCGCUCAUCAAUGCUGCUUUUCCCCUCUCUCGUCCAAACUGGAACUACAAUUGAGCAGAAGGUAAGGAGAGACUCCAGGUCUAUUGCCAGACUCUGUUGGCUGGUCUCAGGGCAACUACACGCAAGCCCACUAAUUUGGCUAAGGUAUAUAAUGUACAACAAGGCAGGGACGAAAGCCCAGCGGCAUUUCUAGAGAGAAUCAUGGAGGCUUUUAGACAAUACACCCCCAUGGAUCCUGAAGCUCUAGAGAAUAGGGCUGCUAUAGUUAUGGCUUUCGUUAACCAAGCCACUCCAGACAUAAAGAGAAAAUUACAGAGAGUGGAGAGAUUAGGAGAAAAGAACUUGCAGGACCUGGUAGUGGUGGCAGAAAGAGUUUUUAAUAAUUGAGAGAGCCCGGAAGAACUACAGACGAGAAUAAAUGACCGCCAAACUUGAAACUUGGCUAAAAUACUGCUGGCUACGACUGCAGAUAAUCCUCAGGAGUGACAGAGACACCUUAAGAAACUGGCCACUGGACAAGGUAAGGAAGACCUCACCCGAGGGAACUGCCCUAAGUUAAAUAAGAACCAGUGUGCCUAUUGCAAAGAGGAAGUCCAUUGGGUCAAAGACUGUCCUAACAAAAGACCCCAAAAGGCCCCCAUUACUAUCCUGGGUACUGAAGGCAUUGAUGACUAGGGGUGAUGGGGUUUGGCACCCCUCCCCGAGCCCAGGGUAACCCUAAAAGUGGAGGGGCAACCUAUAGAAUUCCUUGUGGACACCGGAGCUCAGCACUCUGUUCUAUUAAAACCCCAGGGAAAAUUGGCAGAUAAAACCUCAUGGGUACAGGGAGCUACUGGGAUGAAAUGAUAUUCAUGGACUACCCGAAGAACAGUGGACCUCGGUGUGGACCUCGGUGUGGGCCAGGUAUCCCACUCGUUCAUGGUCAUCCCAGAAUGCCCCUACCCCUUAUUAGCCCAAGACUUGCUCACCAAGGUGGGGGCACAAAUCAGCUUCCACCCAGAAGGAAUAAAAAUUCUAGACAAAGAAGGACAUCCAAUACAGGUGCUCACUGUAAGUCUUGAAGAUGAGUACCGCCUGCACCAGGCACCCUUACCACCAAUGCAUGACUUAGAAUAUUGGCUACAGACAUUUCCCCAAGCUUGGGCUGAGACAGGGGGAGUGGGAUAAGCUCAACAUAGGCCAGAAAUAUUUAUAGAACUGAAAGCAGGCGCGGAUCCAGUUAGGGUCCAACAAUACCCAAUGCCACUCUAAGUAAGAGCUGGAAUCACUCCACACAUUAGAAGGUUACUCGAGUUAAGCAUACUAAGUCCUUGCCAGUCAUCAUGGAAUACCCACCUAUUACCAGUCCAAAAGCCAAACUCAACUGACUAUUGACCAGUCCAAGACUUGCGGGAGGUAAACAAGUGAGUGACAGAUGUACACCCAACGGUCCCAAAUCCGUAUACCCUCCUCAGCUCAUUGCCUCCCACCCGAAUCUGGUAUACAGUCCUAGAUUUAAAAGAUGCCUUUUUCAGCUUGCCCCUAGCACCUAAGAGCCAGAACAUCUUUGCCUUUGAGUGGACGGACCUGCAAAAAGGGAUUAGUGGCCAGCUCACCUGGAUCAGCCUCCCCCAAGGAUUCAAGAACUCGCCCACCAUCUUCGAUGAGGCCCUACAUGAAAAUCUGAGUGAGUUCCGAUCUAAACAUCCAGAAUUAACUCUUUUACAGUAUGUAGAUGAUAUCCUGGUAGCCACUGAAGACCAGGAGAGAUGCCUGCAAGGAACCAAGGACCUGCUUUCAACACUAGGAGCCUUGGGUUACCGAGCCCAAAUCUGCAAGACAGAGAAUUCUGUUCCAGACACCCACUUCCCUGAACCCAGCCACCCUCCUCCCUGACCUGGACUGGGAGGCACCACUCCAUGACUGUGGAGAAAUCCUGGCUCAUGUUCACGGAGUCAGAACUGACCUGCGAGAUCAGCCACUGGCAGAAGCAGAUGCCACAUGGUACACCGAUGGAAGCAGCUUCAUGCAAGACAGAGUAAGGUAUGCAGGGUCAGCUGUAACAACUGAGACAGAAACUGUCUGGGCUGAGCCACUGGCUCCAGGGACUUCAGCCCAGUUGGCAGAGCUGAUCGCGCUGACUAGAGCAUUGACUAUGGCCAAAGGCAAAUGCCUUAAUGUCUAUAUGGACAGUAGGUAUGCAUUUGCCACUGCCCACAUACAUGGAGCCAUCUACAGAGAGAGUGGGCUAUUAACUGCAGAGGGAAAAACCAUCAAAAAUAAAGAAGAAAUUCUUGGCCUCCUAUGGGCCCUUUGGCUACCCAAAGCCCUGGCUAUAAUUCAUUUCCCAGGCCAUCAAAAAUCUGACACCCUGAUUGCCAAAGGAAAUAGACUAGCAGACCAAUGUGCCAGACAGGCAGCCCUUUCAGUGGACCAUGCCCUAGUGACCACGUUGCCAGACCCAGGGGCCCCUAACCUCCCAGACACCCCCUCCUACACUGAUAAAAACACAAAAUGGAUCAAGCAGCUACCCAUGACCAACUACCUAAAUGGGUGGUGGAGAGCUGCCAACUGCAUCAUUCUACCGGAAGAGCUAGGACAAUAUGUCCUGACCAAAUUGCAUUGGGCUACACACAUGGGGAUGAGAAAAAUGGAAGACUUGGGGCGACAUGCUCACAUCACUAUCAGAGACUCGAUCAAAAAUUGGACAAAUCGUAGCAAGCUGCAAGGCUUGCCAACUGACAAAUGCGACUGCCCAAGGGCCCAACCCUGGUACCAGACUCUGAGGAAACAGACCAGGCGCCUAUUGGGAAGUAGAUUUUAUGGAAGUAAAGUCUGGAAAAUAUGGGUACAGGUAUUUGCUAGUGUUUGUAGACAUUUUUUUAGGUUGAAUCGAGGCAUUUCCCACCAAACAUGAGACAGCGCAGACCGUGGCCAAGAAGUUGUUAGAAGACAUCCUGCCAAGGUAUGGUUUUCCUGCCAAGAUAGGUUCAGACAAUGGACCAGGAUUUGCUUCCCAGGUAACUCAGGGAGUAGCACAGAUUCUUGGGGUGGAUUGGAAAUUACAUUGUGCAUAUAGGCCCCAAAGUUCAGGACAGGUAGAAAGAAUGAACCAAACUUUAAAAGAGACCUUGACUAAAUUAGCCCUAGAGAGUGGCGGAGACUGGGUAACUCUCCUUCCCUUUGCCCUUUAUCGAGUGCGUAACUCCCCAUAUAAGAUGGGACUUACUCCCUUUGAAAUCAUGUAUGGCAUUCCUCCACCUAUUAUUCCCACUCUCAUACCCAAAGUACUUGCUGAAUUUGAUGAUCAACUCCUUUUUUCCCUCCAAGUGUUGCAACGAACCCAUGAGCAGGUCUGGCCUAAGCUGAAAGCUCUUUAUGAGACUGGACCCCCUCCAGAACCACACCGCUAUCGUCCAGGUGACUGGGUGUACGUCCAGAGACACCAACACCAGACACUGCAACCACGCUGGAAGGGACCCUACAUCAUGAUCCUGACCACUCCCACUGCUCUCAAAGUUGACGGGAUUACUUCCUGGGUCCACUGCACCCAUGUCAGACCAGCUGACCUACACGCCAUUCUCAAAGACUGUUCCAGGAUGGAAAAGUCAGCCGGACAAAAGCAAUCCUCUAAAGCUAAGACUGCACCAUUCUCACUUACCCCACUAAUGUUGCUUAUACUAUGCCUUCUUCAUGCCAAAACCCGUGACCCUAACCCUCAUACCCCUAUAAUAGUACAUGGCAAAUCAUUACCCCAGCUUCCCACCAAGUAGUAGUCCAGUUAAAGGGACAAUACCCUAGGGGGACCUGGUGGCCUACCCUCACUGUGGACCUGUGCACUCUCUUCAAACAAGACCCUUGGCACGAAGGUAGAAUAGGGAUACCAGGAUGUGGUACUCAGGCUUCCAUGAAAGAACUCCAAAAUACCUGCUUCUAUAUAUGUCCAGCCCCCUCAACCAACCAUGCCAAGGUCUCACAGUGUGAUGGGUGGACAAAUUUUUUCUGUAAAAAUUGGGGUUGUGAGCAGACUGGGACAUGCCAUUGGCUGACAGGAAAGCCUCCCCCAGGCCUCAUAAAAAUCCAACGAAAUACAACUCACACCCAAUGCACGACUAAUCCCACCUGCAACCUAAUUGACAUCUCCUUUACAGAUGCAGGAAAAAAAGAAACAAACUGGGAAAUAGGGCUUAUGUGGGGACUACGACUCUACCAGAGUGGAUAUGAUAAUGGAGUCUUGUUUAUGCUCAGGAUACUUGAAAGGCCUCUAGCCAGGUCCCAGAGAAUAGGCCCAAAUCCUGUGCUAGCACCUCCUCCACCCAAAUUUCAGACAACCACAACGCCUAUCUCCCCAUCGCCCUCCCCUAUACCUGCUAUGACAUUCGCCCUCCCUUCUAUGAGGGAAUCGUGAUUUUGGGUCAGUACAACACAACUUCUGACCCUAAUGCCUGUAGAUGGCACCAGAGAACUCAAGGACUAACUUUACAGUCAGUGUCAGGUCACGGCCUCUGUUUAGGAUACCCCCCCUUCAAUAUCAACCCCUCUGUAAUACAACCAUAAACCCCUCCAGUCCGGACUAUUAUGUACCCACCCCAAGAAAGUUGGUGGGCCUGCUCGACAGGCCUGUCACCUUGUGUCCACGGGCAGGUGUUAAAUAAGACUAAAGGAUCCAGCUUCUCCCUAAAAUCAUAUAUCACUCAGAAGAAGAAAUAUAUCAGAGAUAUUCGAGUGAAAUCGGACGCACUAAGAGAGAACCCAUUUCAGCAUUAACUAUUGCAAUGCUCUUUGGAAUAGGGCUGACAGGGGUUGGGACUGCAGUAGCUUCAUUAACAGUGCAGAGCUCCCAUUAUAAUAGCUUGAGAGCUGCUAUAGAUUUAGACCUCGAGAGAAUAGAAACCUCCAUCUCCCACCUUCAGGAAUCUUUAACCUCUUUGUCAGAAGGUGUUCUUCAGAACAGGAGAGGUUUAGACUUAAUUUUCUUACAGCAAGGGGGGUUAUGCGCAGCCCUGGGGGAAGAAUGCUGUUUCUUUAAAGAUCACUUGGGAAUUGUCAAAGAAUCUAUGGCUAAAGUCCGAGAAGGCUUAGCCAAACGUAAGAGAGAAUGGGAACAACAACAAGGAUGGUUUGAAUCUCUAUUUAACAAUUCCCCAUGGUUAACAACCCUAGUCUCCACCUUAAUGGGCCCUCUAGUAAUACUGUUACUUCUACUUACCUUUGGACCCUGUAUCCUCAAUAGACUGAUGACUUUUGUCAAAAAUAGAAUUAAUACAGUUCAGCUGAUGGUGCUAAGACAACAGUAUCAGCCUUUAUCUCCUUACAACUGUGAAACCUCAUUGGACCCAUGAUUGGGUCCCUUUUUAAGAUCCAAAGAAAGGGGGAAAUGAAAGGGCAAGCUGCUGGACUCUACCUCAGUCAAUCAGGACUGGGUUCUACUUCAGCCAAUUGGAACCUGGAUCCUAUUUCAGCCAAUUGGAGCUUGGUCUCUCUCUCUCUCCUCCAGUCAGCAAAAAGUGCACCCACCAUCCCUAGACUCUGCCAAUUGACCAAAGCCAUGACCUAUCACCCCACCAACUACCCCCAGGCCCAGCCAAUCAGCCAGGGCCAAUCACCAUCACCCCACAAACCGCCCUAGAAACCCAUAAAACUUUUGUUCUUGGAAAACUCGCUCUCUCUUUGGCACCUGGCUACUGCGUUGGCACGGAUGUGAGAUUGAGCUCGGGCUAGCUCGAAUAAAGGCUCUUUGCUUUUGCAUCUG
Molecule: RNA transcript, 7457 nt
Organism: Manis javanica (Malayan pangolin)
Lineage: Eukaryota; Metazoa; Chordata; Mammalia; Pholidota; Manidae
Source: RefSeq, a predicted model, not a curated record